GAUGAACGCUGGCGGCGUGCCUAAUACAUGCAAGUCGAGCGAACAGACGAGGAGCUUGCUCCUCUGACGUUAGCGGCGGACGGGUGAGUAACACGUGGAUAACCUACCUAUAAGACUGGGAUAACUUCGGGAAACCGGAGCUAAUACCGGAUAAUAUAUUGAACCGCAUGGUUCAAUAGUGAAAGACGGUUUUGCUGUCACUUAUAGAUGGAUCCGCGCCGCAUUAGCUAGUUGGUAAGGUCACGGCUUACCAAGGCAACGAUGCGUAGCCGACCUGAGAGGGUGAUCGCCCACACUGGAACUGAGACACGGUCCAGGCUCCUACGGGAGGCAGCAGUAGGGAAUCUUCCGCAAAGGGCGAAAGCCUGACGGAGCAACGCCGCGUGAGUGAUGAAGGUCUUCGGAUCGUAAAACUCUGUUAUUAGGGAAGAACAAAUGUGUAAGUAACUAUGCACGUCUUGACGGUACCUAAUAAGAAAGCCACGGCUAACUACGUG
This 497-nucleotide ribosomal RNA is filed under the name uncultured bacterium. Its description in RNAcentral is "partial 16S ribosomal RNA". It matches the Rfam family "Bacterial small subunit ribosomal RNA", at positions 28 to 507 of the family's 1533-position model. The record is from RNAcentral.